Molecule: long non-coding RNA, 232 nt
Organism: Oncorhynchus masou masou (cherry salmon)
Lineage: Eukaryota; Metazoa; Chordata; Actinopteri; Salmoniformes; Salmonidae
Exons: 3
Source: RefSeq, a predicted model, not a curated record
UCGCCCACUAACGGCCAUCCUAGACUGGGCCGGCAUGCCUCUGGAUCCCCCUCUCCACUCGUACAGAGAGAGUCAAGGAGAAGCCCAGUGGACCAUCUCCCCAAAACACUGCAUUCCACUCCAUUGCCUUCUAAACUCCUCCCUGUUGAUGACGAACCCAGUCUGACCAAUGGAGACGGGGGUUGUCUAGAGAGCUGUGACCUGGACCUGACUACAGAGGACCUGGCUCACG